UCAUAGGAUAAAUNAACAACGCCUCGAACUGCGCUAAGUAUUGUGACUUGCGGAAUUCAGUGCAUCAUCGAAUCUUCGAACGCACCUUGCG
Molecule: ribosomal RNA, 91 nt
Filed under: uncultured Tricholomataceae
Lineage: Eukaryota; Fungi; Basidiomycota; Agaricomycetes; Agaricales; Tricholomataceae
Description: partial 5.8S ribosomal RNA
Rfam family: 5.8S ribosomal RNA (bases 12-91)
About the family: 5.8S ribosomal RNA (5.8S rRNA) is a component of the large subunit of the eukaryotic ribosome.
Source: RNAcentral